Neopsephotus bourkii (Bourke's parrot) is the source of this 690-nucleotide long non-coding RNA. RefSeq lists it as uncharacterized. The transcript is spliced from 3 exons. The record is from RefSeq and is a predicted model, not a curated record. Lineage: Eukaryota; Metazoa; Chordata; Aves; Psittaciformes; Psittacidae.
CUGCCUGAUGAAGAGUCCUUCUCCAGAAUCCUAAUUUGCCUACCUUUUCUUUCAAAUUUAAUCACUUUAAAAGCGUGCUAGUGUGCUGGUUUCCUGAUACUGGCUGCUCAAAUCCUGAAGUUAGAAUGGAACAGAAAAGGUAAAGACCCAGGCAAGAUUAAGUGUGCACAGAGCAGUCAUGAAUAGGUAUGUAUACAAAAUAGCACAUGAAAGUGUAAAAGCAUGAUUUGGGAAGAGUUCUACUAAUACACUUGUGUGAUCAACCACCAAAAAUCUUAGAGUGUUACAGGACUUAGACUUUUUGAAGCUUCCACUUAUUGCUAAUUCAUCUCAGGUAUGUCCCUACUAUUAAGGCUUUUAAGAAAUUUCAAGUAUUGAUAAAUGAUGUAAUGAUUUCAAGCUACUCCUCAGUUGUACUUCCAUGAAAUGGCAUUAGUUUUGGUGUGGCUACGUACUGGGGAAACAAAGCAGAAUUUAACCCUCAAAGUAGACAUACAUACUUCAAGGAUAUAGGAACUUAUUUCACAUUCAAGCUUAAUCUGUUAAGGCAUCAAAUGUUCUUCACUCCCAUUAACCUUAGUAAAAAUGCUUGGAAAUUCAUUGUGCAGUGUAAAGCUAGUGCCAUAGUCUUCAACUCCUUUCAUUUUAAGAACUAUUAGUUUGGAGAUGAAAUGCACAUGUACAGUAUUC